AGUGAACGCUGGCGGUAGGCCUAACACAUGCAAGUCGAACGGCAGCACAGUAAGAGCUUGCUCUUACGGGUGGCGAGUGGCGGACGGGUGAGGAAUACAUCGGAAUCUACUUUUUCGUGGGGGAUAACGUAGGGAAACUUACGCUAAUACCGCAUACGACCUACGGGUGAAAGCAGGGGAUCUUCGGACCUUGCGCGAUUGAAUGAGCCGAUGUCGGAUUAGCUAGUGGGCGGGGUAAAGGCCCACCAAGGCGACGAUCCGUAGCUGGUCUGAGAGGAUGAUCGGCCACACUGGAACUGACACACGGUCCAGACUCCUACGGGAGGCAGCAGUGGGGAAUAUUGGACAAUGGGCGCAAGCCUGAUCCAGCCAUACCGCGUGGGUGAAGAAGGCCUUCGGGUUGUAAAGCCCUUUUGUUGGGAAAGAAAAGCAGCAGGUUAAUACCCCGCUGUUCUGACGGUACCCAAAGAAUAAGCACCGGCUAACUUCGU
RNAcentral lists this ribosomal RNA (491 nucleotides) under uncultured bacterium. Its description in RNAcentral is "partial 16S ribosomal RNA". It matches the Rfam family "Bacterial small subunit ribosomal RNA", at positions 29 to 506 of the family's 1533-position model. The record is from RNAcentral.